UACGUAGGGGGCUAGCGUUGUCCGGAUUUAUUGGGCGUAAAGGGUGCGUAGGCGGGUCUUUAAGUCAGGGGUGAAAUCCUGGAGCUCAACUCCAGAACUGCCUUUGAUACUGAAGAUCUUGAGUUCGGGAGAGGUGAGUGGAACUGCGAGUGUAGAGGUGAAAUUCGUAGAUAUUCGCAAGAACACCAGUGGCGAAGGCGGCUCACUGGCCCGAUACUGACGCUGAGGCACGAAAUCGUGGGGAGCAAACAGG
Molecule: ribosomal RNA, 253 nt
Filed under: uncultured bacterium
Lineage: Bacteria
Description: partial 16S ribosomal RNA
Rfam family: Bacterial small subunit ribosomal RNA
Source: RNAcentral